CAGCAGCCACGGUAAAACGAAGGGUGCAAGCGUUAAUCGGAAUUACUGGGCGUAAAGCGUGCGCAGGCGGUUUGUUAAGUCUGUUGUGAAAUCCCCGGGCUCAACCUGGGAAUGGCAAUGGAUACUGGCAAGCUAGAGUGUGUCAGAGGAUGGUGGAAUUCCCGGUGUAGCGGUGAAAUGCGUAGAGAUCGGGAGGAACAUCAGUGGCGAAGGCGGCCAUCUGGGACAACACUGACGCUGAGGCACGAAAGCGUGGGGAGCAAACAGGAUUAGAUACCCCAGUAGUCCCUGUCUCUUAUAC
RNAcentral lists this ribosomal RNA (301 nucleotides) under uncultured bacterium. Its description in RNAcentral is "partial 16S ribosomal RNA". It matches the Rfam family "Bacterial small subunit ribosomal RNA", at positions 509 to 807 of the family's 1533-position model. The record is from RNAcentral.